RNAcentral lists this ribosomal RNA (238 nucleotides) under uncultured bacterium. RNAcentral describes it as "partial 16S ribosomal RNA". It matches the Rfam family "Bacterial small subunit ribosomal RNA", at positions 15 to 244 of the family's 1533-position model. The record is from RNAcentral.
GAUCCUGGCUCAGGAUGAACGCUAGCUACAGGCUUAACACAUGCAGGUCGAGGGGCAGCAUGGUCUUAGCUUGCUAAGGCCGAUGGCGACCGGCGCACGGGUGGGUAACGCGUAUCCAACCUGCCUUACACUCUUGGACAGCCUUCUGAAAGGGAGAUUAAUACAAGAUGUUAUCAUGAGUAAGCAUUUUCGCAUGAUUAAAGGUUUACCGGUGUAAGAUGGGGAUGCGUUCCAUUAG